This 254-nucleotide ribosomal RNA is filed under the name uncultured bacterium. RNAcentral's name for it is "partial 16S ribosomal RNA". It matches the Rfam family "Bacterial small subunit ribosomal RNA", at positions 524 to 776 of the family's 1533-position model. The record is from RNAcentral.
UACAGAGGAGCCAAGCGUUGUCCGGAUUGACUGGGCGUAAAGCGCACGCGAGGCGGAUGCGCGCGUGGGGUGUGAAAUCUGGCCGCUUAACGGCCAGGCGCCAUCCCAUACGGCGCGUCUGGAGUGAUGCAGAGGUCGGUGGAAUUGCCGGUGUAGUGGUGAAAUGCGUAGAGAUCGGCAGGAACACCCAGGGGGAAACCAGCCGACUGGGCAUCUACUGACGCUGAGGUGCGAGAGCGUGGGGAGCGAACCGG